Molecule: long non-coding RNA, 1513 nt
Organism: Amphiprion ocellaris (clown anemonefish)
Lineage: Eukaryota; Metazoa; Chordata; Actinopteri; Pomacentridae
Exons: 3
Source: RefSeq, a predicted model, not a curated record
GAUUACUGCAGGUGACUCACAUUGCAGUAAUCAGCUCACCUGCCCUCAAUAUCACCUGCUCACUAUUUAAACUCUGCUUAGUGACUCUUUGUCAGUUUGACCAUAAACUACUAGACACCUGCUUCCCUCCAGGCUCAGAUUCCCACAAAGACUCACAUGGCUUCACACGCUCUGCUCCCUCAUGGACUCUGCUUCCCCACUUCUGGACUCCUUUUUCCUCGAUCCUUUUUCUCUGUCUUGUGAGUACCCCUCCUUAGUUUACUUUUUUUAAUCCAGUUUAGUAUUGGUUGACUUCUGUUUCUGUAUUCGUAGUGUUUGCUGGGUUUUGAAUAGUUUGGUUUUGUUUCCCCAGUUCAGCUCUCCAUUUAUGUACUAGUUUAGUUAUCUUUUUAAAUGAAACUCUUUCCAUUAUUCACCUGUCUGCAAGUCUCUCUGUGUCUGUGCCUGCGUUGUCCAACUCAGGGCCCAAACCGUCCCUUAAAUAAUCCUGGGUCCGUUUCACGAAGCAGGUUCAACAAACUCUGUGUAACCCUGAACUCUGAGUUGAUCUACUCUGAGAUAGAAAACUCUGAGUUUUCGGUUUCACAACGGCUGAUUUGAGUUGGUUUAAUCAACUCGGAGUAGUUUCACUCAGAGUGCACCGCAACUAUAAAAAGACAGCAUCAAUGGAACCCCGAUUCGACGAGUCACCAUGGUGACGGGGAAGUGGAGAGGUACGUUUUUUUUUUUUUUUACACCACUUGAAUUGGACAUCUUAAUGUGUUCAUAUGGCGACUUCGAACACGUUUUUAGAAAGAAGUGCAGCACUUGCAGCUGCAAAAGAGAGGGAGACGGCGUGGGAGAACAUUGCUGCCCGAGUCAAUGCGUAAGUUUAAGUCACAAUAAUAUUACAGGAAAACUGUUUAAUAGCAGCCUAUUCUGUUAUUUCAUUUAGGUGCAAUCCUGCAGGGGAGAAGCGCAUGUGGCAGCAGCUGAAGAUGAAAUAUAAAAACAUUGUUCAAACGGCCAACAGAAAGAAAGCAGAUGCCUGUAAAAAGGGAGGUGGCCCAGCAGCACCACCUGUAACGGAGGCAGAGGAGCUGGUCCUAAGCCAGAAUUUGGGAAGGCAAGAGGAAAAGGUGCAACAGAAAAUUGGACCUUCCAAGCGUACUUGUGGAGAUGCAGGCUGAGAAGGAGCAGAACCGGCAUCCAGCAUGAUGAGAACAUCUGGUUGCUCCUCAGCGAGGCAAGAGAGAAUGAAGCGGCCUUGCAGUGGGAGGAGACGGUCCAGAAUGCUGCCUUCAACCAGUCAUUCCUGGGUGCACUGGGGCAGCUGGUGCAGGCAGUGCUGGGUGUACUGGGGCAGCUGGUGCAGGCAGUGCUGGGUGUACUGGGGCAGCUGGUGCAGGCAGUGGGCAGCCAGAGUCCACCUCCCAGAGACUUGAGAUUUAGUUGUAUAUAGUUUUACUUUUAGCCCUCCACUGUAGCAGAAGCCCACCACAGUUUGUACUUUGCACAUUGUAAAUAGUUCUGA